Cyprinus carpio carpio is the source of this 958-nucleotide long non-coding RNA. NCBI's taxonomy places the organism in Eukaryota, Metazoa, Chordata, Actinopteri, Cypriniformes, Cyprinidae. The record is from Ensembl.
GUAGCAGUGUCUGUGAGGGAAAAAAAAUAGAUCCCGGCCGGUCUUGGGCACGAAACAGGAACAGUGUAACACCUUAGUCAAAAACAACGUGAUGAAUGCUCAAGUCCGAUUUUAUAUAUCCUCGAGUCCGAGUCCAAGUACGAGUCAUCAGUCUGCGAGUCCAAGUCGAGUCACGAGUCCAGAGAAUGGAGUCUCGAGUCAGACUCGAGUCCAAAGAAUAGUGACUCGAGUACUCCAUCACUGGCAUCUUAUAUAUGCGCUAAAUGCAUUAAAUAUCUUAAAACACUGAGACAUUGUUUCACUACUUUAAAAACUGCAUUUAAAAUGUAUUUAAAUGUGUGCAUUCACUGUAAAAGAUGUUGCACUGUUAACUUAGUAAAAUUAUGCUCAUCUUAUUUGUUUCUGCUCUGUUGGCAUUACUCAGUUUGAUUGAGUUCUUUACCCAUUACUUAAAGCAUUGCAAUUAAGUUCGCUGAACUUAAUUUCUUUGUGUUCAGAGAAAGUUUUAAAUGUCGCUCCUUCGCGCAUGCGUCAUAGAGGACGGGCACAAGCACUUGUGCCACCAAGCGCACACAUUUUCAAAGGACUUCGUGUUAUCGAACGGCGGUUUGUAAAACCUACAGAGGAUUGGACCCAACGCCUUCACAAAGUGACGCAUUCAAACCGUAAGGCUCUCUAACGAUCAUCUGACAGAUGGACGGGUGCUAAGCCAAAGAUAUCAUCUAGACCCACAUAAUUAUGUUGAAUGAACCGGGUCAUUAUGUUAAGAAGUGGAGUCAUUCCUCCACCGAGGGUCCAUAACAAAGAAGCUCUUGUGUAAUCACUGGUCCUGAAAACAAGGGAACUCUGAGUCAUCCUCAUCGCACCUGUCCUUUGGUCUCCUCAAUACUUGAGGUUCAUUGACGUAAUCUGCUCUAUUUUGAUCUUUUGAUACUUGUCCAGGUAAAUAUCUUCUCAG